CUCAGGACGAACGCUGGCGGCGUGCCUAAUACAUGCAAGUCGUACGCUUCUUUUUCCACCGGAGCUUGCUCCACCGGAAAAAGAAGAGUGGCGAACGGGUGAGUAACACGUGGGUAACCUGCCCAUCAGAAGGGGAUAACACUUGGAAACAGGUGCUAAUACCGUAUAACAAUCGAAACCGCAUGGUUUUGAUUUGAAAGGCGCUUUCGGGUGUCGCUGAUGGAUGGACCCGCGGUGCAUUAGCUAGUUGGUGAGGUAACGGCUCACCAAGGCCACGAUGCAUAGCCGACCUGAGAGGGUGAUCGGCCACAUUGGGACUGAGACACGGCCCAAACUCCUACGGGAGGCAGCAGUAGGGAAUCUUCGGCAAUGGACGAAAGUCUGACCGAGCAACGCCGCGUGAGUGAAGAAGGUUUUCGGAUCGUAAAACUCUGUUGUUAGAGAAGAACAAGGAUGAGAGUAACUGUUCAUCCCUUGACGGUAUCUAACCAGAAAGCCACGGCUAACUACGUGCCAGCAGCCGCGGUAAUACGUAGGUGGCAAGCGUUGUCCGGAUUUAUUGGGCGUAAAGCGAGCGCAGGCGGUUUCUUAAGUCUGAUGUGAAAGCCCCCGGCUCAACCGGGGAGGGUCAUUGGAAACUGGGAGACUUGAGUGCAGAAGAGGAGAGUGGAAUUCCAUGUGUAGCGGUGAAAUGCGUAGAUAUAUGGAGGAACACCAGUGGCGAAGGCGGCUCUCUGGUCUGUAACUGACGCUGAGGCUCGAAAGCGUGGGGAGCAAACAGGAUUAGAUACCCUGGUAGUCCACGCCGUAAACGAUGAGUGCUAAGUGUUGGAGGGUUUCCGCCCUUCAGUGCUGCAGCUAACGCAUUAAGCACUCCGCCUGGGGAGUACGACCGCAAGGUUGAAACUCAAAGGAAUUGACGGGGGCCCGCACAAGCGGUGGAGCAUGUGGUUUAAUUCGAAGCAACGCGAAGAACCUUACCAGGUCUUGACAUCCUUUGACCACUCUAGAGAUAGAGCUUCCCCUUCGGGGGCAAAGUGACAGGUGGUGCAUGGUU
Molecule: ribosomal RNA, 1057 nt
Filed under: Enterococcus sp.
Lineage: Bacteria; Bacillati; Bacillota; Bacilli; Lactobacillales; Enterococcaceae
Description: bacterial SSU rRNA
Rfam family: Bacterial small subunit ribosomal RNA
Source: RNAcentral